CCUACGGGUGGCAGCAGUCGAGAAUCAUUCACAAUGGGGGAAACCCUGAUGGUGCGACGCCGCGUGGGGGAAUGCAGGUCUUCGGAUUGUAAACCCCUGUCAUGUGGGAGCAAAUUAAAAAGAUAGUACCACAAGAGGAAGAGACGGCUAACUCUGUGCCAGCAGCCGCGGUAAUACAGAGGUCUCAAGCGUUGUUCGGAAUCACUGGGCGUAAAGCGUGCGUAGGCUGUUUCGUAAGUCGUGUGUGAAAGGCGGGGGCUCAACCCGCGGACGGCACAUGAUACUGCGAGACUAGAGUAAUGGAGGGGGAGCCGGAAGUCUCGGUGUAGCAGUGAAAUGCGUAGAUAUCGAGAGGAACACUCGUGGCGAAGGCGGGUUCCUGGACAUUAACUGACGCUGAGGCACGAAGGCCAGGGGAGCGAAAGGGAUUAGAUACCCUAGUAGUU
RNAcentral lists this ribosomal RNA (446 nucleotides) under uncultured bacterium. RNAcentral's name for it is "partial 16S ribosomal RNA". It matches the Rfam family "Bacterial small subunit ribosomal RNA", at positions 338 to 795 of the family's 1533-position model. The record is from RNAcentral.